ACGGGAGGCAGCAGUGGGGAAUAUUGCACAAUGGGGGAAACCCUGAUGCAGCAACGCCGCGUGAGUGAAGAAGUAUUUCGGUAUGUAAAGCUCUAUCAGCAGGAAAGAAAAUGACGGUACCUGACUAAGAAGCCCCGGCUAACUACGUGCCAGCAGCCGCGGUAAUACGUAGGGGGCAAGCGUUAUCCGGAUUUACUGGGUGUAAAGGGAGCGUAGACGGCUUUGCAAGUCUGAAGUGAAAGCCCGGGGCUCAACCCCGGAACUGCUUUGGAAACUGUAGAGCUAGAGUACAGGAGAGGUAAGCGGAAUUCCUAGUGUAGCGGUGAAAUGCGUAGAUAUUAGGAGGAACACCAGUGGCGAAGGCGGCUUACUGGACUGUAACUGACGUUGAGGCUCGAAAGCGUGGGGAGCAAACAGGAUUAGAUACCCUGGUA
Molecule: ribosomal RNA, 434 nt
Filed under: uncultured Clostridium sp.
Lineage: Bacteria; Bacillati; Bacillota; Clostridia; Eubacteriales; Clostridiaceae
Description: partial 16S ribosomal RNA
Rfam family: Bacterial small subunit ribosomal RNA
Source: RNAcentral